Molecule: ribosomal RNA, 1981 nt
Filed under: gut metagenome
Description: bacterial LSU rRNA
Rfam family: Bacterial large subunit ribosomal RNA
Source: RNAcentral
GAAAGUAAACAAGGGCGCAUGGAGGAUGCCUAGGCUCUCGGAGGCGAAGAAGGACGUGAUAAGCUGCGAAAAGUUACGGUAAGGCGCAAAUAGCCCUAGACCCGUAAAUAUCCGAAUGGGGCAACCCGGCCAGCAAUGGUCAUACCGCCAAGCGGUAAGCCAACGCGGGGAACUGAAACAUCUAAGUACCCGCAGGAAAAGAAAAUAACAAUGAUUCCGCCAGUAGUGGCGAGCGAACGCGGAACAGCCCAAACCACUCGUGUUACGGCACGAGUGGGGUAGAAGGAUCCACGAUACGGCAAGAAAUAAGUUAGCAGAAUACGAUGGAAAUCGUAGCCAAAGACGGUGACAGCCCAGUACGCGAAAACCGACAGAAGCCCAGUGGACACCUGAGUAACCCAGGACACGAGAAAUCCGGGGCGAAUCAGCGGGGCCCAUCCCGUAAGGCUAAAUACUCCCGAGAGACCGAUAGCGAACCAGUACUGUGAAGGAAAGGUGAAAAGAACCUCGAACAGAGGAGUGAAACAGACCCUGAAACCAUGCGCCUACAAGCGGUCGGAGCAUGUUAAAAUGUGACGGCGUGCCUUUUGCAUAAUGAACCUACGAGUUACUCUCGCUGGCAAGGUUAAGCGAUUCAGUCGCGCAGCCGAAGCGAAAGCAAGUCCGAACAAGGCGUACAGUCAGCGGGAGUAGACGCGAAACCAAGUGAUCUACCCUUGGUCAGGUUGAAGGUUGGGUAACACCAACUGGAGGACCGCACCGAUAAGCGUUGAAAAGCUUACGGAUGAACUGAGGGUAGGAGUGAAAGGCCAAUCAAACUUGGAGAUAGCUCGUACUCCCCGAAAUGCAUUUAGGUGCAGCCUCGAAGUAAAGUGAUAGAGGUAGAGCGACUGAUAAGAUGCGAGGGCUUCACCGCCUAUCAAGUCUUGACAAACUCCGAAUACUAUCACUUGAUCUUUGGGAGUGAGGGCAUGGGUGCUAAGGUCCAUGUCCGAAAGAGGAACAACUCAGACCACCAGCUAAGGUCCCGAAAUAAGGGCUAAGUUGAAUAAACGAAGUAAAACUGCAAAGACAGCUAGGAUGUUGGCUUGGAAGCAGCCAUUCAUUUAAAGAGUGCGUAACAGCUCACUAGUCGAGGAGUUUUGCAUGGAUAAUAAUCGGGCAUAAGCCCUUUACCGAAGCUGUGGAUGUCGUAAGACAUGGUAGGGGAGCAUUCCGGCGGCGACGAAGGCCGUCCUCGAGGACGACUGGAGCUUUCGGAAAAGCAAAUGUAGGUAUAAGUAACGAUAAAGGGGGCGUGAAACCCCCUCGCCAUAAGACUAAGGAUUCCUGAUCAACGCUAAUCGGAUCAGGGUAAGUCGGGCCCUAAGGCGCAGCCGAACGGCGUAGCCGAUGGAAGAAACGGUAAAGAUUCCGUUACUGGAUAUAGGAGCGAUGUGGAGACGGAGAAGUGACACACCCGCCUGCCGACGGAAGCGCAGGUUAAAGGAAGUAGGUAAACGCCGGGUAGGCAAAUCCGCCUGGCGUGCCGAAACUGACAGUAUCGAGAGCCCCCGGGCAAUCGAAUAGCGGUGGUAAUCAGGCUCCCAAGAAAAUCCGCUAAGCAUAUUCUAUAUCCACCCGUACCCCAAACGGACACACGUAGUCGGGUAGAAUAUACCAAGGCGCUCGAAAGACUCACGGUUAAGGAACUAGGCAAAUUGACCCUGUAACCUCGGGAAAAAGGGUCCCCAGUAAGAUGGGGCGCAGAGAAUAGGUCCAGGCAACUGUUUAACAAAAACACAGGGCUGUGCGAAAUUUCAAGAUGAAGUAUACAGCCUGACACCUGCCCGGUGCCGGAAGGUUAAGAGGAGAGCUAAUCGCAAGAGAAGGCUUGAAUUGAAGCCCCGGUAAACGGCGGCCGUAACUAUAACGGUCCUAAGGUAGCGAAAUUCCUUGUCGGGUAAGUUCCGACCUGCACGAAUGGUGUAAUGAUCUGGAC